CUCUCAAUAACUCUAAACAAUUUUGUUAGCCUUACAUUGUGUUCUCUCUUAUAAUAAAAUUCUCCUUUUAAAGUUCUUUCAAUAGUAACUCUCAUUUCAUUACUCUACUAAUCUUCUCAUUAUUACCAACAAUAAAAAGAGGUUGGGUUGGAGAGGACCUUAUGCCAAUUUGGCCUAUCAAACUAAAAGGGAUCUUUCUUUUUGGCAAUUAAAUGAAGAAUUUCAGUUACUAUCCUGAAUGUUGCUUAAAAUAGCAAACAUACAACACAGGAAAGCAGAAAUAGAGCAAGCUUCAAUUACUACUUUCUUUGAUCUUACAUUAUUAUCCUGAAUCCUUAUAGUGGCCCUUUUAGUUCAAUAUUACUUUGUUAACUUUUUUUAUUGAUGCUUUCCAAUGGGACUACAAGGGUAAGUUUUAUGAUGAAGAAAUGAUAAGACAUCAAGUGUGAUGUUGGCUGAAGCUGAAGAUGAUGUUUACCAGUGCCGGUCUGAUUUGAAAGAAAGUGACAAUUGCUCUUUCCUAACUACCACAUCAAAAGGUUCUUGUUUCCUUUCUUCGUCUCAUAAACAUGUUUGAGUACUGUUGGAUAGUGUCAAUAUAUAUGAUUAAUUAACAAUAAUUAAUUGUUUCCAGCAUAACUAUAAGUUUUAGAG
This 654-nucleotide long non-coding RNA is filed under the name Glycine max (soybean). RNAcentral's name for it is "long non-coding RNA (GMAX_LNC003613)". Lineage: Eukaryota; Viridiplantae; Streptophyta; Magnoliopsida; Fabales; Fabaceae. The record is from RNAcentral.